RNAcentral lists this ribosomal RNA (255 nucleotides) under uncultured bacterium. RNAcentral describes it as "partial 16S ribosomal RNA". It matches the Rfam family "Bacterial small subunit ribosomal RNA", at positions 524 to 776 of the family's 1533-position model. The record is from RNAcentral.
UACGUAGGGUGCAAGCGUUGUCCGGAAUUAUUGGGCGUAAAGAGCUCGUAGGUGGUCUGUCGCGUCGGCUGUGAAAACCCCGGGGGCUCAACCCCGGGCCUGCAGUCGAUACGGGCAGACUAGAGUGCGGUAGGGGAGACUGGAAUUCCUGGUGUAGCGGUGGAAUGCGCAGAUAUCAGGAGGAACACCGGUGGCGAAGGCGGGUCUCUGGGCAGUAACUGACGCUGAGGGGCGAAAGCGUGGGGAGCGAACAGG